AUAGUGGCCGGAUACGAGGGUGCAUUUGACUACGGUGUUAAUUGCAUAACCAUCAUGAUUACGGAGUCUUAUCCCUCAAGCGAAAUUAGAGGAAGAAAGCAAAUCGCACGACAGAUCCAGCUACUGAGACACCGGCGGAAACCAGUGCCUCGACUGCUGACUGCAACCGAGGUCCCCCGCUGAUGGCAUCUCGCAGACGCAGCAGCGACCUGGGUCACCACCACGGAGACCCGGGGCCUCCCCACCCUGUCGCCCGGAGCCUGCGACGGCACGGGUAGACAUUUCACUUGGCAGCCACACGCACCCUGACGGCCCCCGAAGAUGACAGCUGUCACGCCAUGACGUCUCAGUGAACGGAGGGGGCUGCUCCGUGGACCGUCGUGUGUCCCCUGGAGCUGCAGCACAGUCCAGUCCAGUCCAGUCCAGAGGCAUGAAACACCUGGUACAUAUUCUUGACAGCACUCAAGAUACUUUCAUUACACCUUUAUCUUCACUUCUCCGCCAUGCAGUGUUACGGACACAGCUCGGCGCGUGACGAGAAGACAGAGCAAGUCCAGAGGAGACACCGCGCUAGAAGCACCAGGUACACCCCCUGACUAGGUGGGCCCCUUAACUAAAAAUUUCCAAAAUUGUUCACAUGCUAGUGUUGGUUAACCACCUUCCUGUCAGUCGGCGGUGGUUCGGUAGUUCAGCCUCGGUGAGAGCGUAGUGCAGUGUUUCGUGACACGCCGGAGACACCAGUAGUCUUUGGGAUGCACUUGCAUUUUAUUGCAAUCUGACAUCAAGGCAGUUAAUCUUUGGUGCAAAUCAAGUCUUGUCGAUCUUAAUCAUGAUAAAACAAUAAUAAUUUCCUUUACUAGGAAAUAUUUUCCUAUAAACUAUGAUUACAAAUUAGAUAAUUUAAUUCCAACAACGAUUCGAAAUAAUUUUUUCAUCAACAUGUAGGUUUUUUAGUUUCUAGUUCUCGAACACUUGCCCUAAUUAAAUAUAUUACUUACCAUGCCAUUAAUUCAGAUUCCAUUAUUUCUCUUUUCUUAGCACUUAUUAGGUCAAAACUAGAAUAUUGUACAGUAAUAUGGAACAACAAUAAUUCAUUGGAUAUUGAUAAAAUUGAAAAUAUUCAAAACAAAUGUAUUAAUCUUAUUACUCAAAAAUCAUUUCCCCCUCCUAAAUUAACAUCACUUUUUGAUCGGCGUGCCCUCCUUGACCAUCUUUUUAUUUCCAAUUGUUAUUCUUCUAAAAUCAAUUGUAAAUCCAUCUUGGAUAAUACUGGUUUAAGAGUCCCCCAGUAUCAUAGUCGACUUAUGUCUACUUACUGUACAAUCAAGAGAAAAAAUGAUAUUAUUUUUAGAUUAGCAAUUUUAAUAGAUUAGACCUAAUAGUAACCAGCUUAACCAAUUAGUAAAUUAUUUUAGUAGCACAUGCAGUCAACUUCAAUUCACUGUGUAUCUUUGUUUUUUGGCAUUCUAAAUCCACUAAUUUUCUGUAUUUUUGAAUUAAUUAAUUUUUUGUUUUUAAUUUAUAUUGUUUUGUGUCCUUUGUCUGAGGUGUCUCUUGUGUAUUGUGUUUUUUUUUUUGUACCGUGCACACCCCUGUAAUCUCUUCGCAGAGCAUUGGUGUGCAUGUCACAAUUUAUAAAUAAAAAAUAAAUAAGUUUUUUUUGGUUAGUGAGUUUAACAAACAGUGGUGGAGGCAAAGCGUAGGUAAGGUGGGUGAGGUAAACUACACUUUGGUGUUCACUCAGCUGGGCAGUGCUGAGUCAUAAAUAAGGUAGGGGAGAAGAGGGGGGGGGGGGGGGGGCAGGUACCCACAGCUCAGUGGAUUUUUCAUAUCAUUUUCACUGUGCAAUUAUAACUUGCUAGUAGGAUGAAAAUCACAAAUCUAUUAACAGAAUUUAUAGGAAACCUAACAAGUUAUAAAACAUGUGCAGAUCAUGUUUACAGUUUUUUUGCCAAGAUUUUUUUUUUUAAUUAAUGGGGUUUUAAAAGUUGUACAACAAGAUGAAUUAGACCCCACCAUCUUGAAUUUUCCCAUCUUUUUUGCCAUAAUUCUAAUUUUGAAUUAGGUAUUUAUCCCGAUUUUUUUGGCAUGUCGAAGUGUAUAUCAUAUCUCCCGUGCCUUCUGUACCUGGUUGCAACCACGUAUUCGCUAACAGCCGCGUGGAAAUAACUUAUUUCUCGCAGGCAACUGCAACUAUAAUGAUGAUCACACAAGUUCACAAGUGUUGACUUCAACAAGUAGACGAAGCUAAGUCCUACGCCAUGUCAAACCAAAAAAUUCAGAACUGAAGCUUUUAACUGCAAGUGGUAUCUAAAUUUUUGACAUUGCAUGAUGGAGAUGCCUGAUCCCCUGGCCCUGUGGUAGAGUAUAAACAUAAACCAAUAGUAGUGUUCCCAAUCUCUCUCCCCACAGUCUAGUAUUCUUAGCUUGGUUAAAAUUCAACAGAAGUCAGUAAAAUAAUAAAAAGAAAUUAACUUAAUUGUGGUAAAAACUGUUCCUUAAUAGGCUCCUUCUAAUAAUGAAUUUGAUUCAGUGUGUGCUGGACUCCUUUUGUGCUUAAGCAGUUUCGAUUAGUCUUAAAAACUUUGCUCACUGGUUCAGAUGAUGUGUUUGUUAUCUGUGAAGGCUGAAAUGAUUAAUGCAUAUCCUCUUCUUUUUGUAAUAAUAAAAUGAGUUAAAUUGAUAGAUUCUUACAUACUUAUUGAUAGGGACAAGUUAUAGGAUUAAUUGUGAUAAAGCCAAAGUAACUCAUUGUGCUAUUGCGUGGUACAUGUCAGUGCACCAUGCAAUACCACAAAGUAAGUUAAUACACAACUAAGAACCAAAAUGUUACUUAAUUCAUAAAAUAUCAGCAUCUUUUAUUAAAAAUGCUGAUUUAAAUCACAAUAACAUAAUAUUUUAAUACACAAAAUUCGAUGAAUGAAUAUUUAGUGUGACAUUUGUACCAUAGUGUAUGUAAUAAAUUGAUUGGAUAAAUUUUUUUUUUAUUUACAUUGCAAUGUUGGUACAUUUGUCGAACACAGACAAAUACUUUUCAAUUAAUUUUUAUUGUCUUAUCUAUUAGUGUCAUUAUAAUAUUGUGAUUAAUGUAAAGGUGCUUAAUUCAUCAGUAAAAACGACUCUGGUGAAACAAGUAUCAUACUUAAGCAUUAUAUUUAUGGAAUAAUAUGAUAUAUUUAUGAAUAAAUAGGAUUCAUAAAAUAUAAAACAAAAAAAUGGGUGCGUGUACUUAUGUACGCCCGUGAGAAGUUAUACUUCUUUGGCAUCAUUAAACGAUAGUUUUUAAUUGCAUGCAAAUAAUGAACUACAAUAAAAUAAUAAAAGGGCUGGAAAAAGAUAGUCA
Molecule: long non-coding RNA, 3343 nt
Organism: Bacillus rossius redtenbacheri
Lineage: Eukaryota; Metazoa; Arthropoda; Insecta; Phasmatodea; Bacillidae
Exons: 5
Source: RefSeq, a predicted model, not a curated record